UUCUGGCUGGCGGGUCAGUUCCGGAAGAAAAACAUUCCUGUUACAGCUUUGGCCUGCCCUUUGGUUCACCUGUGCUACUGGAAACAAAACCAGGCUUGGAAACCAGGGUUCAACCAAUGUUUCUAAAGGAGCCUAGCGUUCAGGUAAAGAAAGACACUCUCCAGGAAACAACACUGACCCGAUGACAAGAGCCACACAAAACCUCGGAAGAGAGGGUGGGAUGUAGCAGCACGUGACCAAAUCAACGAACACGCCAAAGUGCAGCCUGUGGUUCCACACCAAUGAAAGAAGGGCAAGGUUUCCCUGGCAUCUGGCACCGGGCACCUGGGAGGGGCUCACGCCGUGGCACGCGAGGGGCUGCGAGAUUGGACUUCAAGAGUGUGCUGCCGGGGAAGGAGGGCACAGCACAGCGGUCGGUUUGCAGGAUGGCAAGUACUGUGUUCCUAUAGUUGCUUCUAAGGAGUCUUUAAAUGUUUCUGGAAAGACGGAAAGAAAAAAAGAAAAAAGGCAGGGCAUGCUCCAACUGCACAGUAGCCGCUCAGGGUUAAGCCUCUCGGUUCCGUCCACCUGGACCCGGGACGCGGUCAGCACGAGGGGCCGGGCAGCAGCAGAGCGCGCGCAGCGGGGACAACGGUUUGAACUGGGGCGGGGGGUGCUGACCCCCAGAGGCCUAUAAAUACACUGGGCGUCGGCGCUGGAAGCCGCCCCCCUGCGCCAGGGCCCAGCCACCCCACAAACCUGGGGCAGGGAUUCUUUGUUGGCAGGAGGCUUCGAUCUGACGCGGGACCCCCAAGGGGCCAGGACUAAGGACAAGUGUGAGCACCUGGGGAAAGGAAACGGCCAGGAGCUGGAGGCAAGAGCCCGUCCCUUGACUCCCCUUCGAAGAGAUCCCCUGAGGCCAUUUCCUGGGUGCAGACCCCAGACUCCUCUCUCCUUGGCCAAGAAUCCAGAGGACGUGGAAGGCCGAGCCCCACGCCCCCUUGCUUCCCCGCUCCCCUUGCCUCGGGCCACUGGCCUUCUCGUACUUACCGGGGCCCAGGGGCCUGUCUUCCUUGCUAGCGUCCUCUUCCCUCCCAGCCCCCUCCUCACUUCACGUCCCCUCCUCCAGGGGCCGCGGCCAUGUCCGUUGCUGGCAACUCUAAGGGGGCUUGCCUCCUUUCUCGGACAACAGAGACGCCGCUAGCAAGCCAACGUUCUGGGCACUGAUUGGUUGAAAUCCGAGACGGGUGGGGAUUUCUGGCUUCUUAUUGGCUGCGAUGCGCGCUAGACUGUAGCUGAAACUGUCCCUCUGGGAGCCUGGCGGAAUUAAACGCCGAGGGAUGCGGGAGGGAGAGUAAGGAACCGCUGUCCAUCCUUGGGUAUGUUGCUCUGGUGCUUUCAGGUCCAGAGGUCCUGACUAGGGGCGAGGGCACGGCUUCCACCUCAAUUACUUUUCCUACAAAAUUAUCCAAAAAAGAUGGACAGAGUCCCGUCCCCGACGCCUUCUUUCUUUUAAAAAUCAGCCCUUUUGCAGAGCGCCCGCAUCUACUUCUUCUAAGUUCCCUUCUUGUUGCUGUGAACAAAUGCCUGGAGACAUCUAGCUCGGAGUCUCUGGAGGGACCCCCUCAGAGACUAAUACCGCAACCAAACCAAAGCUGGAGAAUCUAAGGCAAUACUUGAGUUUUCCCUUCAACUCAGCUGUACUCUAAAGGGAAAAACAAGUUAAAAAAAUUUUUUCCCUAGAUAGAGAAAUCGUCUAGGAGAGCUCCCUGGGGAAAACAAAGCAAGCCUGUGUCAGUAUUUACUUCUGCUUUCCCAGAGAUGGAAGUCUGGAGGCUUGGUUUUUGUGUUUUGUUUUUCAAUCUGUUUAUAAAAUCAGAAGAGGGUCAUAGCUGGCCCUGGGAAGUAAGAGCCCCUUUCCCCUGUUAAUGAAUUUAAUUAUGUAAUUAAAAUCUCUCUUCUGAAGA
This is a long non-coding RNA of Hyaena hyaena (striped hyena), 1946 nucleotides long. RefSeq lists it as uncharacterized. The record is from RefSeq and is a predicted model, not a curated record. NCBI's taxonomy places the organism in Eukaryota, Metazoa, Chordata, Mammalia, Carnivora, Hyaenidae. The transcript is spliced from 2 exons.